This 97-nucleotide signal recognition particle RNA is filed under the name Fibrobacteria bacterium. RNAcentral's name for it is "signal recognition particle sRNA small type". It matches the Rfam family "Bacterial small signal recognition particle RNA". Rfam says of the family: The signal recognition particle (SRP) is a universally conserved ribonucleoprotein involved in the co-translational targeting of proteins to membranes. Archaeal SRP consists of a 7S RNA and homologues of the eukaryotic SRP19 and SRP54 proteins. Lineage: Bacteria; Pseudomonadati; Fibrobacterota; Fibrobacteria. The record is from RNAcentral.
GUUCAGGCCCCUCGCAAUGAGGACGAACUGAAUUCCGCCAGGACGAAAGUAGCAACGGUAGGUAUCAGAUUCAUGUGCCGAAGUAAGCUUGUUCCAA